GGACUACCGGGGUAUCUAAUCCCGUUCGCUCCCCUGGCUUUCGCGCCUCAGCGUCAGAAAGGGUCCAGCACGCCGCCUUCGCCACCGGAGUUCCUACGGAUAUCAACGCAUUUCACCGCUCCACCCGUAGUUCCGCAUGCCCCUACCCUCCUCGAGACCUCCAGUAUCCGCGGCAGUUCCCCGGUUGAGCCGGGGGAUUUCACCGCGGACUUGGCGGCCCGCCUACGCGCCCUUUAAGCCCAGUGAUUCCGAACAACGUUCGCACGGUUCGUCUUACCGCGGCUGCUGGCAC
Molecule: ribosomal RNA, 292 nt
Filed under: uncultured Planctomycetota bacterium
Lineage: Bacteria; Pseudomonadati; Planctomycetota
Description: uncultured planctomycete partial 16S ribosomal RNA
Source: RNAcentral